RNAcentral lists this ribosomal RNA (495 nucleotides) under Septoria callistephi. RNAcentral describes it as "eukaryotic LSU rRNA". The stretch from base 162 to 315 matches the Rfam family "5.8S ribosomal RNA". The record is from RNAcentral. RNAcentral also lists the same sequence under 3 other names. Lineage: Eukaryota; Fungi; Ascomycota; Dothideomycetes; Mycosphaerellales; Mycosphaerellaceae.
GCGGAGGGAUCAUUACUGAGUGAGGGCCUUCGGGCUCGACCUCCAACCCUUUGUGAACACAACUUGUUGCUUCGGGGGCGACCCUGCCGUUUCGACGGCGAGCGCCCCCGGAGACCAUCAAACACUGCAUCUUUGCGUCGGAGUUUAAGUAAAUUAAACAAAACUUUCAACAACGGAUCUCUUGGUUCUGGCAUCGAUGAAGAACGCAGCGAAAUGCGAUAAGUAAUGUGAAUUGCAGAAUUCAGUGAAUCAUCGAAUCUUUGAACGCACAUUGCGCCCUUUGGUAUUCCGAAGGGCAUGCCUGUUCGAGCGUCAUUUCACCACUCAAGCCUGGCUUGGUAUUGGGCGCCGCGGUCAAUCCGCGCGCCUCAAAGUCUCCGGCUGAGCUGUCCGUCUCUAAGCGUUGUGAUUUCAUUAAUCGCUUCGGAGUGCGGGCGGCCGCGGCCGUUAAAUCUUUCACCAGGUUGACCUCGGAUCAGGUAGGGAUACCCGCUG